AUGGCCCUUCGUGAGAUAGCCCGGGUAGGGGCUAGGUUCACUUGGACCAAUAAACAGGUGGACCCUAUUCGGAGUGUGCUGGAUCGGGUUCUAGUGUCAGUACAGUGGGAGGUUAUGUUCCCACUGUGUUCUCUGCGGGCGGUCACUCAGAUUGGCUCCGACCACGUCCCACUGUUGUUUGCGUCAGGGGAAGGGUCUCCACCGCGGUCUAGGCAAUUCCACUUCAAACCAUCUUGGCUUCUGCAGCCAGGGUUCGUUGAGAUGGUCCAGGACUGGUGGGUGCGGGCAUCGCAUUACCCGCCUAGAGCUUUCUGUGCCACUGACAUCUGGCAUCACUGCUCUAAAACCACUCGCCAGUUUAUGAGGGACUGGGGCGCCAACCUUGGGGCCGCCUUGAGGUCCCACAAAGGGGUGCUAUUGGACCAGAUUAAGGCCCUUGACGUGACUGCUGACUCAGUCGGUCUGUCGGAUGAAGACUGGUUGCGGAGGUACUCCCUUGAAUCCCUUAUGGAGAUCUUCAAGGGGGAGGAGCUGUUUUGGCAGCGCAGGGGGGGGGGCAAAAGUGGCUCUUACAAGGAGACUCUAAUACCGCUUACUUUUAGGCAAUCGCUAACGGGCGUCGCAGGAAGUGCUCCAUCCCAUGCCUCUGGGAUGGAGACAACCUCCUGGAGCACCCGGAUGAGAUCAGGGCCCAUGUUUACUCCUUUUUUAAGGGGCUCUUCUUGGCAGAACCCCGUGGAGGGGUUUCCUUGGCGGAUGAUUUUCGGCCCCUUGCGGACAGAGUCACCGAUAAUGAGAAUGCGGAUCUAA
RNAcentral lists this ribosomal RNA (810 nucleotides) under Triticum aestivum (bread wheat). Its description in RNAcentral is "partial small subunit ribosomal RNA". The record is from RNAcentral. Lineage: Eukaryota; Viridiplantae; Streptophyta; Magnoliopsida; Poales; Poaceae.